Phragmites australis (common reed) is the source of this 2032-nucleotide long non-coding RNA. RefSeq lists it as uncharacterized. Lineage: Eukaryota; Viridiplantae; Streptophyta; Magnoliopsida; Poales; Poaceae. The record is from RefSeq and is a predicted model, not a curated record. The transcript is spliced from 3 exons.
CUUUGGAUGUAGCUUUAGCACUACAUGCUGUCAAUUUUGUGGAAUUCAAUUGGCCGAAUUGAUGCAUGUUGCAUUUGCUUGCAAUAGAUCGCUCUCUGGUUGAUUAACUAAAUACAUGUGUGCUUGAGUUAGGACACGGCUAACUAUCACCCUUGAAAUUGCACUGUUGCUUGAGCACACCAAAGUUCAACCUUUCUUGAGGUCUCUUCUAGAGCUACUUGUUGGCCAAUUUACCCCUGUGAUUCCUUAAUGUGUCUAUAUGCUUCCAGUUGACCUACACUUGGGUGGCCCAGGAAGACAGGACAACACUGAAUGGCCUACAUUUGAUCUAUUGAAUGAGAAUGUCUCUACUGUUAGUUGCUCAUCUCAUAGUUUUUAUGGAAGAGGGUGUUCUUAAAAAUUUAAGUUUCACUUUCAGAGCUAAAGUAGAGGAACCAUCUACUGGAGAGGUGCCCUCCCCACCUUCUCAUACUGCUGUUGGAGGACCAACUUCACUUCUUCCUAAGCGCAAACCCCUGACUGAAUAAGAGAUUGAGUCUAUUAUGGUAUGCACUUUGUUCACAGAUGCUUACCGUCUAUUAUUUGUGUGCUUACCGUCUUUGGUGACUUGCACUCAACAAGUAAUUUGUCCAGUUUUGAUCCGAAAUAUUAAUUAUAUACAUGAAACUUGCAGGAUGAUUAUAUGAUUGUUAUUUAGCACGAACACAUUUUUUGUAUAGAAGUUACAAGCCUAAAUAUAAUGAGGAAAUGCAUGCUAAAUAGCCUUGCAAAACUUUAGUUUGUACCAUAAUGGGUUAAAAUCUGUCACCCAAGAAAUAGAAGGGGAGAUCACUUCAAACAGUUAUGUCCAGGACCUUCUAUACACAAAGUGCUGAAAUUGUGAGAUGACACCACAAGCAUUCUUCCCUGCUACCAUCUGAAUAGUGGUAAUCUAGAUCUGUCUUCACAUAUUUUUUUUUGAAAGAGGAACAGUAGGGGACUAAAAUCACAUUGUUGUAUUGAUGUUCCAACGAACUCAAUAAUUAACUGACUAUUACCUUGCCUUGAUCUACCAUCCGACAUCCGCCCUAUGGUGCCUGGACUACGUGUCCAAGAUCAUAUGAUUAACUUAAAACAAUGACUAUUAGGUUCAGUGUUGACUAUUAGGUGAUGGCUGACAUUAGGUCCAUGGUUAAAACCUGCUUUUGUGAAAGAAUUUGCUCUGAAUGAGGACCUUUGAACCUUUUUAUAAUGAAUUAGAGUCCUGUAACUUGGCCUUGGUGGCAUUUGCAGUUUGGAUAUGCUUUGCAACUGCUUUCUUAUCUGUUGACAUUAUCUCAAUGCAUUUUCGGUAUAAUAAAUAGUUGUAUUGCACUCCAAAGAUUGAUUUAAAUCAAUGCAUUUUCAGUACGAGAAACCAGCAGUAUUGCAGUCCGAAGAUCUAUUUACUGACCAGUCUUUUGUUUAUAGUUUUUCAUUAAAUCUUGUGCAGUCAUUGUAGUCCAUUGGAAUUAAUUCCUCUUGCCGAAUUGAUGCAUGUUGCAUUUGCUUGCAAUAGAUCGCUCUCUGGUUGAUUAACUAAAGACAUGGUUGGGUAAACUUUAUCAAUCUCAAAUGGAGGUGUGCUUGUGUUAGGACACGGCUAAAUUUUCUGAAGGGCAUGCCUUUGAGCAAUCGAGGCAACUGUGGGUUUCAAAUUUGACAUGAUCCUUCUAUCUUGGAGCCUAUGCAAAAGCAAAUCUAAGCCUAAUAGGGAUGCAAUGUUACAAGAGUCCUUGUCAUAGCAAUUUGUGCUUUGAAAAAAAGAAGUGCUCAUUACCUUAGUUCAUGGGAUUUUAGCGGUUCCAACUAUAACUAUAGAAGAUACCAAUGGUUUAGAUUCUCCAUCACAGUCAUGUGUCAUUAACAACGAAAAUACCUCUCUAACCCCUCAAACUACCAGCGUUCAGGCGCCAACAACACGUCCACCAGUUAGUGAUGAUGGUGAUGACGAUGGUGUCGUAUUCGAUGAGGACUCUGAAGAGGGGGAGGGCUACAUGUUCGCUGGUCAAGG